UAGUACGGCGAGUGAGCGGGAAGAAGCUCAAAUUUUGAAAUCCUGGUGGCCUCAGGUCAUCCGAGUUGUAAUCUAUAGAAGUGUUUUCCGUGCUGGCUCAUGUACAAGUCCCUUUGGAACAGGGCGUCAUAGAGGGUGAGAAUCCCGUCCUUGACAUGAACUACCAGUGCUCUGUGAUACAUUUUCAACGAGUCGAGUUGUUUGGGAAUGCAGCUCAAAAUGGGUGGUAAAUUCCAUCUAAAGCUAAAUAUUGGCGAGAGACCGAUAGCGAACAAGUACCGUGAGGGAAAGAUGAAAAGCACUUUGGAAAGAGAGUUAAACAGUAUGUGAAAUUGUUGAAAGGGAAACGAUUGAAGUCAGUCGUGCUCUUUGGAUUCAGCCGGUUCUGCCGGUGUACUUCCUUUGAGUGGGGUCAACAUCAGUUUUGAUCGCUGGAUAAAGGCUGGAGGAACGUAGUACCCUCGGGUAAACUUAUAGCCUCCUGUCACAUACAGUGGUUGGGACUGAGGAACGCAGCACGCCUUUAUGGCCGGGAUUCGUCCACGUACGUGCUUAGGAUGUUGACAUAAUGGCUUUAAACGACCCGUCUU
This 590-nucleotide ribosomal RNA is filed under the name Filobasidium magnum. RNAcentral describes it as "partial large subunit ribosomal RNA". It matches the Rfam family "Eukaryotic large subunit ribosomal RNA", at positions 81 to 655 of the family's 3401-position model. Lineage: Eukaryota; Fungi; Basidiomycota; Tremellomycetes; Filobasidiales; Filobasidiaceae. The record is from RNAcentral.